This 482-nucleotide ribosomal RNA is filed under the name uncultured bacterium. RNAcentral's name for it is "partial 16S ribosomal RNA". It matches the Rfam family "Bacterial small subunit ribosomal RNA", at positions 28 to 523 of the family's 1533-position model. The record is from RNAcentral.
AGUGAACGUUGGCGGCGUGGAUUAGGCAUGCAAGUCGAGCGAGAACCGUAGCAAUACGGGGACAGCGGCGAAAGGGACAGUAAUGUGUAGGUACCUACCUCCGGGUUCGGGAUAGCUGCGGGAAACUGCAGGUAAUACCGAAUAACGUCUCCGGACCAAAGGUGUGAUUCCACCUGGAGAGGGGCCUGCAUCCUAUUAGCUUGUUGGCGGGGUAACGGCCCACCAAGGCGACGAUGGGUAGCGGGUGUGAGAGCACGACCCGCGUCAUUGGGACUGAGACACGGCCCAGCCACCUACGGGUGGCUGCAGUCGAGGAUCUUCGGCAAUGGGCGCAAGCCUGACCGAGCGACGCCGCGUGCGGGAUGAAGGCCUUCGGGUUGUAAACCGCUGUCGUAGAGGAGGAAGUGCAGGGGGGUUCUCCCCUCUGUUUGACCUAUUCUAGGAGGAAGGACGGGCUAAGUUCGUGCCAGCCGCCGCGGUAA